Molecule: ribosomal RNA, 333 nt
Filed under: Triticum aestivum (bread wheat)
Lineage: Eukaryota; Viridiplantae; Streptophyta; Magnoliopsida; Poales; Poaceae
Description: partial small subunit ribosomal RNA
Source: RNAcentral
GUUAUCUCUUUCGGAAUGGACUGGGAGAAGUGCCUUCCAUUUGCCGAAUUCGCUUACAACAACAGCUAUCAAUCUAGCUUGGGUAAAGCCCCUUUUGAAGUUCUCUAUGGACGACGAUGUCGAACACCCCUUAACUGGUCAGAGACCGGGGAAAGACAAUUCUUUGGCCCGGAUAUGAUUCAGGAAGCAGAAGAACAAGUUCGUAUCGUUCGUGAAAAAUUGAAAACAGCCCAAUCUCGUCAAAAGAGUCAAUAUGACCGAAAACAUAAGGCUAUGACUUUCGAGGUUGACGAGAAGGCUUAUCUUCGGGUCACCCCUCUGAAGGGAACCCAU